CGAUCUGAGUACUAGGCUUAAGCCCAAUGUGGACAGGAUAAUCGUUAGUUGACUCGAUAGGCAAAUAGGGGGCAGUGUGUAGAGCACAUUAAUAGAUUCUAACUCGAUGGUCCAGCUGAGGAUAACUUAUAUUUCCUAGAAAGAUUUUCAAGUUUUCUCCGUAAACCUUUCCAGGAAAAGGUUUAAUCCAGCUUUUCUAUGUUCUUGGCCAUUAUAUUUAUUUUUAAAAGUAGUUAUAUAAAGUUGUACAAGACUGUGUGAAAUAGCUUAAGACAAAAACUUUGUCAUUAACGGUAGAAGGUAAUUGUUUCUAUUUCUAACUUUAUUAUGUUCAAUUAUAUACAUUUUUCAGCUCUCUAGUAUAUACUUCAUGAUUGGGUAUUAUGUGAAUCUACUGACAGCAAGCAAUAAUAUCGUACUGCAGUGGAAAAUACCCUUAAUGAGAAUCGAUUUAAAAACUUCAUUUUAAUCGAUAGGAGGCGGCUUUCCUUAACUAUUUUAACAAUAUAUAAAAGUUUGAAUAUUAUUAUGGACAUUGAAUUGCCGUAUGUAGUGGAAUAUGCCAAAAGUGGGAGAGCCUCUUGUAAAGGAUGCAAAUGUUCGAUUCCCAAAAAUAACCUUCGCAUCGCUGUUAUGGUUCAACUCUCUAGUAUAUACUUCAUGAUUGGGUAUUAUGUGAAUCUACUGACAGCAAGCAAUAAUAUCGUACUGCAGUGGAAAAUACCCUUAAUGAGAAUCGAUUUAAAAACUUCAUUUUAAUCGAUAGGAGGCGGCUUUCCUUAACUAUUUUAACAAUAUAUAAAAGUUUGAAUAUUAUUAUGGACAUUGAAUUGCCGUAUGUAGUGGAAUAUGCCAAAAGUGGGAGAGCCUCUUGUAAAGGAUGCAAAUGUUCGAUUCCCAAAAAUAACCUUCGCAUCGCUGUUAUGGUUCAACUCUCUAGUAUAUACUUCAUGAUUGGGUAUUAUGUGAAUCUACUGACAGCAAGCAAUAAUAUCGUACUGCAGUGGAAAAUACCCUUAAUGAGAAUCGAUUUAAAAACUUCAUUUUAAUCGAUAGGAGGCGGCUUUCCUUAACUAUUUUAACAAUAUAUAAAAGUUUGAAUAUUAUUAUGGACAUUGAAUUGCCGUAUGUAGUGGAAUAUGCCAAAAGUGGGAGAGCCUCUUGUAAAGGAUGCAAAUGUUCGAUUCCCAAAAAUAACCUUCGCAUCGCUGUUAUGGUUCAACUCUCUAGUAUAUACUUCAUGAUUGGGUAUUAUGUGAAUCUACUGACAGCAAGCAAUAAUAUCGUACUGCAGUGGAAAAUACCCUUAAUGAGAAUCGAUUUAAAAACUUCAUUUUAAUCGAUAGGAGGCGGCUUUCCUUAACUAUUUUAACAAUAUAUAAAAGUUUGAAUAUUAUUAUGGACAUUGAAUUGCCGUAUGUAGUGGAAUAUGCCAAAAGUGGGAGAGCCUCUUGUAAAGGAUGCAAAUGUUCGAUUCCCAAAAAUAACCUUCGCAUCGCUGUUAUGGUUCAACUCUCUAGUAUAUACUUCAUGAUUGGGUAUUAUGUGAAUCUACUGACAGCAAGCAAUAAUAUCGUACUGCAGUGGAAAAUACCCUUAAUGAGAAUCGAUUUAAAAACUUCAUUUUAAUCGAUAGGAGGCGGCUUUCCUUAACUAUUUUAACAAUAUAUAAAAGUUUGAAUAUUAUUAUGGACAUUGAAUUGCCGUAUGUAGUGGAAUAUGCCAAAAGUGGGAGAGCCUCUUGUAAAGGAUGCAAAUGUUCGAUUCCCAAAAAUAACCUUCGCAUCGCUGUUAUGGUUCAACUCUCUAGUAUAUACUUCAUGAUUGGGUAUUAUGUGAAUCUACUGACAGCAAGCAAUAAUAUCGUACUGCAGUGGAAAAUACCCUUAAUGAGAAUCGAUUUAAAAACUUCAUUUUAAUCGAUAGGAGGCGGCUUUCCUUAACUAUUUUAACAAUAUAUAAAAGUUUGAAUAUUAUUAUGGACAUUGAAUUGCCGUAUGUAGUGGAAUAUGCCAAAAGUGGGAGAGCCUCUUGUAAAGGAUGCAAAUGUUCGAUUCCCAAAAAUAACCUUCGCAUCGCUGUUAUGGUUCAAGUAAGUUUCUAUAGUGGCAGGCAUAUCUCAGCGUAAUCAAGUAAGAUUAAAAACAAACUCUACUGAAUUUACGCGGGCUUUUAGUUAAAAUUUGUUUGAUCUCCGUAUUGGCACAACCAUAUCUACACAAACAUGCAUACCCAUGAAAUAUACUUUUACAGUGGACAAAAAGUUUAAGUACACUUCAUACCUCAGUGCUUUUUGUAAAAAAUAUGUAUUGAGACUUAUCAAAAUAAUAAUAAUUAAUAAACGUAAUCUUUAGGAUUUCGAAUAUACCAAUAUAUAUACUACGUCACUCCUUCGUGAACAUUAUAUUCACAGAAAUAAAAAAAAAAUGGCUAAAAACCCCACCGAAAAAAGUUUACGUACACUCGUCAUCUCUCUGUUUCUUUGGAAUUUCCCUUCCAAAUCUAACGGUGUUCGUGAAUUCUUCCUUCAGUCUACUUCUGAUGCUUCCCUUUUUAUCCAUUUUAAGUUCAUUUAAUUUGAUUUUGCUGGAGUGAGAGGUCAAGAUGGGUCGAGGAA
Long non-coding RNA from Drosophila rhopaloa, 2617 nucleotides. RefSeq lists it as uncharacterized. NCBI's taxonomy places the organism in Eukaryota, Metazoa, Arthropoda, Insecta, Diptera, Drosophilidae. The record is from RefSeq and is a predicted model, not a curated record. The transcript is spliced from 6 exons.